This 774-nucleotide ribosomal RNA is filed under the name uncultured bacterium. RNAcentral describes it as "bacterial SSU rRNA". It matches the Rfam family "Bacterial small subunit ribosomal RNA", at positions 373 to 1147 of the family's 1533-position model. The record is from RNAcentral.
GGCGCAGCUGAUCCAUCAUGCCGCGUGUGUGAAGAAGGCCUGCGGGUUGUAAAGCACUUUAAGUGGGAAAGAAGGCUUCAAGGCUAAUAUCCUUGGAGAUUGACGUUACCCACAGAAUAAGCACCGGCUAACUCCGUGCCAGCAGCCGCGGUAAUACGGAGGGUGCGAGCGUUAAUCGGAAUUACUGGGCGUAAAGCGCGCGUAGGCGGCUUGUCAAGUCCGACGUGAAAGCCCCGGGCUCAACCUGGGAACGGCGUGGGAGACUGGCAGGCUCGAGUGCGGGAGAGGGGUGUGGAAUUUCCGGUGUAGCAGUGAAAUGCGUAGAGAUCGGAAGGAACACCAGUGGCGAAGGCGACACCCUGGACCGACACUGACGCUGAGGCGCGAAAGCGUGGGAAGCAAACAGGAUUAGAUACCCUGGUAGUCCACGCUGUAAACGAUGCGGACUAGCCGUUGGGGACGAUUGAGUCUUCAGUGGCGCAGCUAACGCGAUAAGUCCGCCGCCUGGGGAGUACGGCCGCAAGGUUAAAACUCAAAUGAAUUGACGGGGGCCCGCACAAGCGGUGGAGCAUGUGGUUUAAUUCGAUGCAACGCGAAGAACCUUAACUGGCCUUGACAUCCUGCGAAUCUUUCAGAGAUUGAGAGAGUGCCUUCGGGAACGCAGAGACAGGUGCUGCUUGGCUGUCGGCAGCUCGUGUCGUGAGAUGUGGGGUAAGUCCCGUAACAAGGGCGACCUUGCCCUCGUUGCCAGCCGUGAAGGGGGACUCUGGAAGA